Long non-coding RNA from Chinchilla lanigera (long-tailed chinchilla), 2125 nucleotides. RefSeq lists it as uncharacterized. NCBI's taxonomy places the organism in Eukaryota, Metazoa, Chordata, Mammalia, Rodentia, Chinchillidae. The record is from RefSeq and is a predicted model, not a curated record. The transcript has 2 exons.
UCAUCAAAAGCAUCCACUUAGCCUUUGGUUUUGUUGUAGAAAGUUUCUGUCUCAGGCUUCGGUUUUGUUGAAGUUUCCCUAUCAGUAUUUCUGUCAUGAUGCAGUGUUGACAUCAGCAGUACCAGUGUGUUUUUCUUUACCAUACAGGAGGCCAAUGUUACAUUUUUUGAAACCCUAAGAUUGUAGCAUACAAUUCCUUGUCUUUAAUUUGCAACAUUUCAUUUGGAAUUUCUGCUUUGUUUCCACAUACAGUUCCUGCACUGGCCAACUUGUACUGUGUUAGCAAAUGUAGUAUCAACUGGAAACUGUUAAACCAAUUAUCAAAUGUCACAUUCCAAUUAGUUUGGGAGAUGGGAGCAACAAGUCUGUUCAUAACAUCAUUCAAUUUAUUACUACACAAAGAAGGACCCAAUAGCUGAGUUCCAGGACAAAUUUGUAAAUUGAAAGCAUAAUAAAUCUUUGCAUCUGCAAGGGCACAAAUUUUUAUGCCAUAUUUUGACCCAUUGCUCACCCGUAAGUCUUUCACAUUCCUGCAAUUACCAUGAGAGUACAGAAGACCCAUGAAUGUUUUCAUUUCCCCUAAUGUGGUGUCAUAAUAAAUACAUUUUUAAAUAUGGCUAUUGGUGCAUACAGAACAUUUUAUCUUUAUCUCAGCUUUUGUAUUUUCACAGCAUCUUGUAGCAUUUUGUCUGUCAUGAUUUCCAAUGUUGGAUGGUAGUACUGGCAUUCUGUCCAAUAUAUGACCACCCCGUCAAGACUCCCUCUAUAUUUUUGUACCUAGUUCUGACAUUGGAUUGUUCCAUUUGGUUGCAUGACUGUUUUGCAACAUUUCAACUAAAUAUUUCCUGACAUUGCUGUUUUCUUUGUUAUCUGAAUCAAGGAGGACUGCAUUUCCUGUGGCUGUAUCAGUCAAUUCUUGUUCCAUGUCACUAGCAUAGGAACUGUAGCUCACAUGGCCAACAUCAAAGGCAUCAUCAUCAUCAUCACAUCAUCAUUAUCAUCAUCACCUACCCACACCACUCUUUUGUUAUGAAACCAUGUAUUUAAUCACAAUGGACCGUCUUCAUCAUCCAUGCUUUUUAUCUCUUCUAUCCUGCCUCAACGAGAAUAUGGCUGAAGACACAAGCUGCUGUCACACUGAGAUUAGAUUAUAAAAUGGCUUUCUCUUUCCUCCUCCUUCUCCCCCUCUUCCUUUUUCUUCCAUCCUUACUUCUUCUCCCAUCAGGAGAGGGGGCUCCAUCUGGCCUCAGUUUUCUGUUAAAAAAAAAAAAAAUUAUAAAAUGACUGUGGCUCGUACCUUGAGUUCCCUCCCCACUCCGUGCUCCCCUCCCCCUCGGUGCUCCCCCCCUCCCCGUUUCCCUUGUCCUCCCUGCCCUCCCCUUCGUCUCAGCACUCACUGUAAGUGUGAGCUGCUAGGUUGUGAGGCAGCCCCGGGAGAGGGAAGCCAGCUGAGGAUACACACACGCAAGCAACCCAUGUGACAAAGAACUGAAACUUGCUGGCAACCACCUGAGUGGACCCAGAAGUAGAUGUCUGGAGGGCGUCUCAAGGUACAGGAGCACCUGGGAAGUGGGUCACCAUCUCAGGCCUUCUGAUGAGCACAGCCCAGCCAACAGCCUGACCGGAGUGUCCUCAAAGACCUGGAGCAAGAACCAGCCGAGCCAAACUACUGUUGAAUUCCUCACCCUUAAGGAACUGGGAAAUGAUAAAAGUCUGUUGCUCUAAGUUACGGAAUUUGAGGUCAUUUGCUAUAUGACACUAUAAUACAAUCACUUCCCCAAACUUAAAGGCUUUCGGAGAAGUUCAGUUAAGCUAUUCACAAAUGUUUGUCUUUUGUUUUAGUGGGAUUUUAUAUAAACCUGUCAAUGGAAGAUCUGCAUAACCAAUAUUAUCCAAAUAAUCAGUGCAUGAUGUUACAAAAUUAUGUAUUAGUAAAAAAGUCAUUUAAUAUGCAAAACAGACCAACAACUAUUAAUGUAAUAGAGUGUAAAAAGUUCAUUAAUAAGGCUUCCAAAUUGCAAUUAACUUUUAAGAAAUGAUCACUUGUUGAAUAAUGAUAAAGGAUCAAAGAAAAAUGUCCAUAGUUAUCUGGAAAAACUAUUAAAAUGCUUCUUUUGCAGCUACA